Molecule: non-coding RNA, 1297 nt
Organism: Pelobates cultripes (western spadefoot toad)
Lineage: Eukaryota; Metazoa; Chordata; Amphibia; Anura; Pelobatidae
Source: the annotation of a GenBank genome assembly
GAGACAGGAACAUGUAUAGACACAUAAUAUAAAGGAAGAGACAUGUAUAGACACAUAAUAUAAAGGAAGAGAGUGGAACAUGUAUAGACACAUAAUAUAAAGGAAGAGACUGGAACAUGUAUAGACACAUAAUAUAAAGGAAGAGAGUGGAACAUGUAUAGACACAUAAUAUAAAGGAAGAGACAUGUAUAGACACAUAAUAUAAAGGAAGAGACUGGAACAUAGACACAUAAUAUAAAGGAAGAGACAGGACACAUAAUAUAAAGUAUAGACACAUAAUAUAAAGGAAGAGACAGGAACAUGUAUAGACACAUAAUAUAAAGGAAGAGACUGGAACAUUCUAUACAAUAUAUAAAAGAAACAACAGGAAUGUGUGAAAUAUACAGUUUAGACCUGCACUACAUAUAGAAAAACACGGAACAUGUACCAUAAUAUUAUUCUACAAACAGUUGUAAUCAAAAUUAUUCAACUCAUUGAAAGUCAGAUUUAUUGUCAAAAUGUUGUGACUUUCAGCUGUUUGCAAUGUACAAAUCAAACAAAAGUAAUUGAAGUAGCUCAACACAACGAAUGUUUAAAGUGGUUUCCCCCAAAUUCAACCGAAAGUGCAACUUAUGACUUUUUCAGUCUCAAAAUUAUUCAAAAUUAUAGUCUUGAAGUUCUGGCAUGGAAACCUUCUGUGUUUAGAACGCACUUACUGUGCUCACUGAAACCUCAGUGCCUGUUGCCACUAAGUCUUGCUUCAAGCCUUUUGUAGUCACUCGAGGGUUUUUCACAACCUGCCUUCUCAGAAAGCUGUCUGCAGCCAUUGAUAGGGUGAUGAUCUCUUCUCUGUACUUUGUCUACCAUUCUUUUGACUUAGCCAUAUUUCUAACAUGCAGUCAAUCAUGACAUGCAACAAACCCUGAGCCAGUUCAGGUAUUUCAAGUAUUCCAGCUCAAGCACACCUGGUGCAACUAAUGAAACCCUUGAGUAGUUCUAUCAGUUGUGCUUGAGACAAUGCCUGUUUUGCAUGUUUGUGCUGUUGUGAGCGAUUCUAUUCACAGGGUUGAAUAAUUUUGAGACUGGAGACGUCAUUAAAAGUAGCUUUUUUAGUUGAAUUUGAGGAAACCACUUGAAGCAUUCAUUGUGUUGAGCAAUUUCACUUAAUUUUGUUUAAUCUGUUCAUUGCAAACAUCUGAAAGUAUCUAAAUGUUGACAAUAAACCUGACUUUCAAUGGGGGUUGAAUAAUUUGGAUUAGAACUGUAAGCCGUCACAUACACACUCCUAUGAAUUCAUUGCUUAUGGCGUGUUUUCCAG